GAAUCUAGUGAUAUGUGAACGGCUGACUCGGUCAAUUUAUUGUGAAUUACUAUUAUGCAAAACUUUUGUGAAUCUCUAUUGUGCAUGACUCGUUUAACGAAUAUUGUGAUUGAAAAAUAACAAAACAAAACAAAUUGCGAAAGAUUAGCGAAUCUAUUUUUAAAAAUGCCACAAACCUCUGAGAAACAAAAACUUGUUAAUUUUAUAAUUGAAGAAGCUGCUUCUAAUAUAUUACUACAUCUGGAUGACGACAAUAGCUAUUGGAAAACUAUGGAUGAAUUGAAUAAAAGUCUUACAAUUAUCUUAUCGAACCAUCGCAGAAAUUAUCAAAAUGUGCCUAAGUGUUUGGAAUGGAGGACUAAUGUUCUUGACUAUUUAGACGAAGGACGUUACCAACAAAUGCUCCGAGUCUCUAGAGAUCAAUUUGCGUCGCUAUUGUCCUUGAUCAAAGAUAGUGCACAGUUUAACAAUGCUCAAUCCACUAGGCAAUUUUCAGUAGAACUACAGUUAGCUAUAACCUUAUAUCGUUUGGAUUCAUCGGGUGAAAGUGCGGCGAUUCGGAAAGAAGCUACAAUGUUGGGUGUAGGAGACAACUUUUUGUCAACUUUGGAGUUAAAAUCUAGAUAUAUCACUUGGCCUGAUACCAAUGAAAGACAAGAUAUCGUCAAAACAACGUACAAUGAGCUGCCGCAUUGUAUAGGGUAUAUUGAUGGUACAGAAUUGAAACUUGCAGAAGCACCAGUUGUUAACCAUUCGGCUUAUUUUUCAAAAAGCCGAAUCUAUUCCAUAAAGGCACAAGUUGUAUGCGAUUGCCAGUUAAGGAUUCGGCAUGUAGUAGCGGGACACUUUGGUAGUGUACACGAUUCUCGCAUGUUUCGUACUAGUGCUCUCUCCACUCAAGAAGGCUCACUUUUUUCUUCUCAAUGGUUAGCAGGAGAUUCUGCUUAUCCAUUGCUGAGCACUCUUAUCACGCCAUUUCGAACAAAUUCACAACAAAUGGACUAUUCAAAGCGUAAAGCAUUCAACUUGCGUCAUAGCAGAUAUCGCGUGAGGAUAGAACAUUGCUUUGGGAUUCUAAAAGAACGCUUUGGCAGCCUCGAAAGAAUUAAGAAUACGUAUUCAGGAUGAACAAAAUCAUAUUCUAUGUUCCAACUGGAUUAUUGUUUGCUGUAUAUUGCAUAACAUCUUCCGAGCUACUUCUAAUGAUAUUGAUCGAUAAUGAUAACGACGAAGAAUCAGAUGAAUUUCCUUCACAUGAAAAUGGCCGGCGAAUAACUGAGGCAGAAGCCAAGCGCAUAUCUUUGUACACAAUAAUGUUUGGUGUUCAGUAAAACGAUGGCUGGCAGAAAAAAAGCGUUCAGGGUGGACUUUAAAGAAUGAGUUGGAGCUGCUGGAAAAGUGGGAGGCAUGUUCCCACGACCUCCGGCGUGCAAAGCGAAAAGAUCACUUAAAGACUUGGGCCUGCCUUUUCGUUUUUCGCUUUGUAAAGAUGCUGUACCUCUAAAACGUUGAAUAAUACUCCGUAUGGUAUAUCGGCUUCUGUCCACCAUUUCACCAACCUCAGCUAAAUCGUACGCGUACGCCCUGAUUAUGCAAAUAUAAUAUUAUUUUCCGUUGAGAUUCGUUGGUUUCACAUUUUUUGCUGCCCAUUUUAAUAAAAUUGAAGCAAAUUUAACUAUAAAAUAAACGCACACUGAGUUUUGAAGUUUGAUUCUUUACAACAA
RNAcentral lists this unclassified non-coding RNA (1724 nucleotides) under Bactrocera tryoni. RNAcentral's name for it is "uncharacterized LOC120768536, transcript variant X3". The record is from RNAcentral. Lineage: Eukaryota; Metazoa; Arthropoda; Insecta; Diptera; Tephritidae.